Molecule: ribosomal RNA, 624 nt
Filed under: Salmonella enterica subsp. enterica serovar Dublin
Lineage: Bacteria; Pseudomonadati; Pseudomonadota; Gammaproteobacteria; Enterobacterales; Enterobacteriaceae
Description: partial 23S ribosomal RNA
Rfam family: Bacterial large subunit ribosomal RNA
Source: RNAcentral
GGGUUGUGAGGUUAAGCGACUAAGCGUACACGGUGGAUGCCCUGGCAGUCAGAGGCGAUGAAGGGCGUGCUAAUCUGCGAUAAGCGCCGGUAAGGUGAUAUGAACCGUUAUAACCGGCGAUACCCGAAUGGGGAAACCCAGUGUGAUUCGUCACACUAUCAUUAACUGAAUCCAUAGGUUAAUGAGGCGAACCGGGGGAACUGAAACAUCUAAGUACCCCGAGGAAAAGAAAUCAACCGAGAUUCCCCCAGUAGCGGCGAGCGAACGGGGAGGAGCCCAGAGCCUGAAUCAGCAUGUGUGUUAGUGGAAGCGUCUGGAAAGGCGCGCGAUACAGGGUGACAGCCCCGUACACAAAAGCGCAUGUGCUGUGAGCUCGAUGAGUAGGGCGGGACACGUGGUAUCCUGUCUGAAUAUGGGGGGACCAUCCUCCAAGGCUAAAUACUCCUGACUGACCGAUAGUGAACCAGUACCGUGAGGGAAAGGCGAAAAGAACCCCGGCGAGGGGAGUGAAAAAGAACCUGAAACCGUGUACGUACAAGCAGUGGGAGCACAGGUUUACCUGUGUGACUGCGUACCUUUUGUAUAAUGGGUCAGCGACUUAUAUUCUGUAGCAAGGUUAACCGA